This 254-nucleotide ribosomal RNA is filed under the name uncultured bacterium. Its description in RNAcentral is "partial 16S ribosomal RNA". It matches the Rfam family "Bacterial small subunit ribosomal RNA", at positions 524 to 776 of the family's 1533-position model. The record is from RNAcentral.
UACGUAGGGGGCGAGCGUUGUCCGGAUUUAUUGGGCGUAAAGAGCUCGUAGGUGGUUUGGUAAGUCGGAUGUGAAAUCUCCAGGCUCAACCUGGAGGGGUCAUUCGAUACUGCCAUGACUAGAGUUCGGUAGGGGAGUGUGGAAUUCCUGGUGGAGCGGUGAAAUGCGCAGAUAUCAGGAGGAACACCUGUGGCGAAGGCGCCUUGCUGGCCAAUUUCUGACGCUGAGGCGCGAAAGCGUGGGGAGCAAACAGG